AUCAUGACCCGAACCGAAGGCAGCCACUUAACUGACUGAGCCACCCAGGGACUCCAGCAGAGAUGAGAGGCUGUGGUUCUUCAGUAGCUGAUGGAAAUGGAUGUGUACCAGGCACUGUCUUAGGGGCCAGGGACACCAUCAUGAUCAAGACAACUUGAGUCCCUGCCCUCAUAGAAGGUGAUCACAUAGUCCCAGCUGAAUAGAGCAAACUCAGCAGAUAAUCGAAUACUUAUAAGAGUGCAGAGUUCUGCUAAGGAGCCAUAAGAGUGGAGCAGAGGUAAUUGGUCAGGUGUUAACAUCCACUAACACUCACCCUGAGGCUUCAGUUUGCUCACAUGCUGCCCACUCUCACAUUAUGUCUCCAGUUCUGACUCUCCUCUGAGCUCCAGACCUGCCAUUUGCACUUGCCCAACAGGAGGUAGAGUCUAAUCCCGCUCCCUUUGGAUUUGGACAGGCUUACAUCUUACUUGUAGCCAGGACACUACAGCAGAUGUGACUCUGUAUGCUGUCUGAGGCUAGGUCACAUGAGGCAAACGCAGCUCUGCCUUGCUCUCUGGGAUGCUCCCUCUUGAGGACUUCAGCUGUCGUGUGAACAGUCCGAUAGGCCGGAGGCUGCCAUGCUGUGAGGAAGCCCAUCGCAGGCCAUGCAGAGACCCCGAGGACAGCCUCUGAGGCUCCGUGAAGAGGGAGAGGCCCAGCCAGCCCACAGGUGUUCUCUCACCAGUAGUCCAGCUCUACAUUAGAAACCCAAGUUAGAA
Long non-coding RNA from Lutra lutra (Eurasian river otter), 758 nucleotides. RefSeq lists it as uncharacterized. The record is from RefSeq and is a predicted model, not a curated record. NCBI's taxonomy places the organism in Eukaryota, Metazoa, Chordata, Mammalia, Carnivora, Mustelidae. The transcript has 2 exons.